GAUGAACGUUGGCGGCGUGGAUUAGGCAUGCAAGUCGAACGGUAUCAUCCUUUCGGGGGUGAGAGAGUGGCGAACUGGUGAGUAACACGUAGGUUAUCUACCCUCAAGACGGGGACAACCCAGGGAAACUUGGGCUAAUACCGGAUGUGAGCAACUUUUAGUUGUUUGAAAGGUGGCGUAAGCUGUCGCUUGGGGAUGAGCCUGCGUCCUAUUAGUUAGUUGGUGAGGUAACGGCUCACCUAGGCAAUGAUAGGUAGGCGGCCUUAACGGGUGGUCGCCCACACUGGGAUUGAGAUACGGCCCAGACUCCUACGGGAGGCAGCAGUCGAGAAUAGUCUACAAUGGUCGGAAGACUGAUAGUGCGACGCCGCGUGAACGAUGAAUCCCUUCGGGGUGUAAAGUUCUUUUAUAUGUGAGCAGUGCUUCUUAUAUUAACAGUAUGGGGAGAGAGAUAUUAGCAUAUGAAUAAGCAACGGCUAACUCCGUGCCAGCAGCCGCGGUAAAACGU
RNAcentral lists this ribosomal RNA (508 nucleotides) under uncultured bacterium. Its description in RNAcentral is "bacterial SSU rRNA". It matches the Rfam family "Bacterial small subunit ribosomal RNA", at positions 28 to 528 of the family's 1533-position model. The record is from RNAcentral.